Molecule: long non-coding RNA, 439 nt
Organism: Neogale vison (American mink)
Lineage: Eukaryota; Metazoa; Chordata; Mammalia; Carnivora; Mustelidae
Exons: 3
Source: RefSeq, a predicted model, not a curated record
GAGUCUAAAGUCGGAGGGUCAUGGAGAGAGGUAAGGAAGGCUUCCAGGAGGAGGUAAUGCCCGAGGAUCUCCAGGAAGCUCCGGAGCAGGCAGGGCCUGUUUGAUGUCUCUGUGUGCUGCGUUGCCAUGGGGCCCGGCAGGCAGCCCUACGUGUGAGCUGGGGUGACCUACGGGGCGGCUGGGUCUAUCAGGGUCCCUUGACCCAGCGCCCCCAUCCCAGGCCUACAGGAGUCCCUAGACCAGCAUGUUCCUGCCUCAGGACCUUUGCACUGGCCGUUCCCUCCACCUUGGACUUUUCCUCCAGAUGUCUGCAAGGCACCUCCUUCACCUCCUACAAGUCUUUGUUCAAACAUCACCUCCACCUCCUGCAGCCUGUCCUGACCUGGUCCCCACCGGCUCCGUCCUCAUCUCCUUUACCCCCUUCUGCCCUCCCUUGGCA